Molecule: RNA transcript, 645 nt
Organism: Phasianus colchicus (ring-necked pheasant)
Lineage: Eukaryota; Metazoa; Chordata; Aves; Galliformes; Phasianidae
Source: RefSeq, a predicted model, not a curated record
GGCCCUCGGGGGCGGCUGCAGCGGGCGGCGGGGCGGGCGGGGUGAGGGCCUCGUCCCGCCCCACGCACACGCGGCGCUCCCCGCGGCCGGGAGCUGCUGGAUGUGCCGUGUGGGAGCCCCACGGCUUCUGCAGAGCCCUCGGCUCCGGUGCGAGCUGCCUUCCUGGCAGUCCCUCCCUCCUCAGGUGUCCGCGUGGUGCUGACCGCAGGCUGGGAGAGGUUUUAAGGCUGUCAACAGACACAAAUCUCCUUUUCACGCUAGCAAAGCGUAUACUGACGGAUAACAGCCGUACGCUUCCCCGUGCUCACAUCGGGGCGUGUAGGCUUCAGUAUGAGAGGAGUUCCCGCCUGCUCUGAAAGAAUAGCUCAACAUCUGUCAUCCCAUUCUCUGCCAUGGCCCAAAAUCAGGAAGACUACAGCUGUCCUGCUCCUUUCAGAUACUUCUGGGAUAGAGAGGUUGGGAAUUGUACUACAACUGCUGAGUGCUGGAUGAAGAUGAAAACAAUAGAGCCACAAUUGAGAGCUGCUGCAAUAAACAUCAGAGUCCAAAACAGUGGCAAUUACUUUAGGUAUACACCUCUCCAACCUGCAGUUUAAACUUCACGGUCCCAAGAUUUGGGGAAAGCAUAAUAAAGUGUAAAAUGUU